CAUCAGGGUUCCACCUCUUCCCAUUCCGAACAGAGAAGUUAAGCCUGAUCACGCCGAUGGUACUGCGUAACAGUGGGAGAGUAGGUAGUCGCCGUUUU
RNAcentral lists this ribosomal RNA (98 nucleotides) under Bacteroides sp. 3_2_5. Lineage: Bacteria; Pseudomonadati; Bacteroidota; Bacteroidia; Bacteroidales; Bacteroidaceae. The record is from RNAcentral. RNAcentral also lists the same sequence under 1 other name.